Molecule: long non-coding RNA, 1561 nt
Organism: Diospyros lotus (date-plum)
Lineage: Eukaryota; Viridiplantae; Streptophyta; Magnoliopsida; Ericales; Ebenaceae
Exons: 3
Source: RefSeq, a predicted model, not a curated record
UUCCACUAGGACGUCCGGAAGAACUGAGAAGCUUGGAGAGAUUUCCAGUUCCCUCUCGGCCGCUUCUUUUUCUUCCUUGGUUGCUCCCUUUCGAUUUUUCAUGGUUGCAAACUCUUGGAUUAGUUCUUCCUCCUAGCCUUGCUGUUUGCUUCUCUUGUUUUGGUUCUUUGCUGUUGGACAGCUUCUUGCAAUCCUUGGAACCGCUCCAGCCUUGUGUCACAUUCACCAAGAAGGUGCUAGCCGUGCUCUGGUGAAGGGUUUGGUGGUAGCUUGGGCGUGGACGAACUAGGUCCUAGGUCCUCUUUGUUUGCAGAGGCAGGUUGGUUACCCGGUUUGUAGGUACGUGGAGAUCCUUUGGAGCAGCUUUCGUGGGCAUCCGACAGUAACAAAUCAUCCUAGAGGAAUGCUUGGAGGCGGGCCUGCAAUAGCAAGGGACGGGCUCUGGCGAUCGGUCUGUCGGGGGUGGCUGGCACCUGCAAGCACUUCAACACUCAAGUGAGUAAGGGAGUAAAAUGACAAAGUAUCAGUAUGCUAGAAAGAGAACAUACUUUGACUCUGGGGAGAGUUGGUUUAUAUAAAAGAAGGGGAGGCCCUCUUGCAUGCAUACGUCGUGUGCUUGUAAGGUGAUAGGACUGAACGUCUGGUGCCGGAGCCUCUUGGUGGCGGCAUGGUGCCGAUGAGACUACUAUUAAUGUAGAUGAGAUUUGUCAUUAAUGAGGAUGAGAUCUGUCAUAAAUGAGGAUGGGAUCUUGAGCGGGCGCGGGAAUAUCCAACGUGCAAGUGUAAUGAUAUUGUUACAAACUGAUGCAGGAUCGGGAUCGGGCCUUGGGCUGGGGGUCGGGACUAGGCCAUGGGCCAAGGGUAGAGAUUGGGCCAGGGGUUGGGGGCCGAGACUGGGCUGUUGGCCAAGGGUCGAUAUCGGGCCGGUACGGUCCAUGAAGAAAAGGAGAGCUUCAAUAUUCAGAACAAGAAAGGAAAAAGAAUUGAAGUUAACUGAUGUUGUCAUAUUAUUACUGCCUAUUAUUCACGGUUUCAGAACGCAGUUGUUGUGUGCCAUCCGGCUUAGGAUCUGUGGAUUUGAUCCCCCUCCAGCCCGUGUAUUUGGUUGCCGGUUCUUGAGUUGAAGGAACAAGGAGUGAGUAAGGAGGAAGCUAUGGCCUGGCUGGUAAACCAAACCUGUUGCUGUUUGUGAAAUUGAGUUCUAAUAAAAUUUUGACGUGAAUUCGCUGUCACUAUCAAAUUCUUUCCUCUCCAAUGUUGGCUCAUUUUUAUUCCAGGAUUAUUGUUGGUAGAAGUACCAAAGCAAGUGGGUUAGAAAUAGUUUUAGCUUGACUGCAUGUGAACUAGAAUUGAAAUUUUCUUGUCAUACUUGGCAAAGAUAAUGUUGCUUAGAGCUCUUCCAUUCGAUGGGACCAUUUAUACUGAUGUUAAUGGCUUUAUAAAACUGCUGAGGUACAGGCUGUUGGAUGGUUCAGAUUUGUGAGAUUUACUGUGAUAAGAAGUUUGAGUUUGUAAGAAGUUGAGAGUUCUCCCCUCUUUGUGUGUGUGUGUGUGUGUCUAG